Molecule: ribosomal RNA, 301 nt
Filed under: uncultured bacterium
Lineage: Bacteria
Description: partial 16S ribosomal RNA
Rfam family: Bacterial small subunit ribosomal RNA
Source: RNAcentral
CAGUAGCCGCGGUAAUACGUAGGUGGCAAGCGUUGUCCGGAAUUAUUGGGCGUAAAGGGCUCGCAGGCGGUUUCUUAAGUCUGAUGUGAAAGCCCCCGGCUCAACCGGGGAGGGUCAUUGGAAACUGGGAAACUAGAGUGCAGAAGAGGAGAGUGGAAUUCCACGUGUAGCGGUGAAAUGCGUAGAGAUGUGGAGGAACACCAGUGGCGAAGGCGACUCUCUGGUCUGUAACUGACGCUGAGGAGCGAAAGCGUGGGGAGCGAACAGGAUUAGAUACCCCCGUAGUCCCUGUCUCUUAUAC